GGAAGAAGGGCAUUGGAGGAACGAGUGUCCGCAAAGAGAGCAGUAUGAGAGAGACUUACCCAGGGCAGGUUACGGAAACUUUAGAGGCAGAGCGAGAGGUAGAGGAGGCCCCGGAGGGAGUAAUGGUAAUAGAGGGAGUAAUGGGAACAGAGGAAGUGUAAGGGAAGAUAGGUACUAUCCAGCAGCGCAAAGGUCCCGCGAUAGAGAAGGUAGGGACUUUGUGG
Pelobates cultripes (western spadefoot toad) is the source of this 224-nucleotide non-coding RNA. The record is from the annotation of a GenBank genome assembly. Lineage: Eukaryota; Metazoa; Chordata; Amphibia; Anura; Pelobatidae.